AUCACCUGUAUUCCUAUCAAUUUGGAUGGUUCUUCUUACAAAAAGCCCCUUUGUGGUAUUGCCCUCUGUGGCUUCUAUUCUUUUUUCAAAGAUGAACUUGUCGGGUUUUUCUUUGGAAUCUGUAGUAUUUUCUUUUGUCACCUGUAUUCCCUUGCCUUUUCUGUGGUUUCUUUUUUAAAAUGAGCAUCUUUUGGCUGUUUCUUUUUGGUUUCUAACGUUUUUUUUGGUAUAUAUUUCUAAGUUUUUUUUUUUAAGGUUUUCAUUUAUUAGGUUUGUUUGGAACACAAAUGUUUCCUUGGUUACCUGUCUUCUCUUUCUUUCAUUCGUAGAUUGUUCUUGAAAUUAUUUUCUUUAUGAAACCUAGUCCAGUUUAGCUUUGGAUACAUGCGAUUUUGACGUGAAUGUGAAGUGUCCUCCUUGUUAAUCUUGGAUCUUCCAAAUCUUUUACAACAUUCUGGUCAACACCCCUUUUCCAACUUAUCAUCUUGACACCCACAUAAAAAACUCCAGAAUAAACUCUUGAAAAACAUAAUUCGGAACAAACCUCUUUGCAAUCUAGAUCCGUCUGUGAUUGGUUUUUGCGGGACUUUAAGAUUUGUCAGUGAUUGGUUUUAUGUUAGCCUAAGUUAUGACUAAUACAGACAGGACUGAUUUCCGCCCUUCUUUUUUUAAUUUUUGAUCUAUUUUCAAGUUAAUGAACCAUGAUUCUUCAAUUGGAGCAAUUAGACUUGUAGAAACUUUUGUGUUCCUGGUUUAUAUUUAAUCAUAUGCUCCACUGCGAGACUGAGUCUGCUAUUUUCUUGUUCCUGCUGUUAUUUGCUUUCACCUUCUACCCACUUAUCUCCAGUAUCUAUUGUACUUCUAUGUCAUGUUUCACUGUGAAUGUGCUUCAUUGAUAGGUUGAUUUGGACUUGGGAAACUAUGAGCACUUCUGAUGUUACCCUUACUAGAGACAACAAUAUAACUACGGGGAAGAUAUAUCAGGUAUUACCAUGGAGGGCGCUUGUGCCAGAUAAAAUCUGUGUAUUUCAUCAACAGGUCACUUUGUUGCUGUUUAUCGAAUGAAGAGUUGCUUCAUCAUUACAUUGGAUCCCUGGUUGUCCCUCAUAUCGCACAUGCCAUAAAGAACUGGAUUGAGAAGCUGAUAUUAAAUCAACGCCUUUCCAUGAAGCCUUGAACAGCUGUCAUUUUCCGUUGGUA
This is a non-coding RNA of Elaeis guineensis (African oil palm), 1200 nucleotides long. Lineage: Eukaryota; Viridiplantae; Streptophyta; Magnoliopsida; Arecales; Arecaceae. The record is from RefSeq and is a predicted model, not a curated record.